Paramuricea clavata is the source of this 338-nucleotide non-coding RNA. The record is from the annotation of a GenBank genome assembly. Lineage: Eukaryota; Metazoa; Cnidaria; Anthozoa; Malacalcyonacea; Plexauridae.
CCCGAAUAUAUAAAUCACUUGACAAUAACAGCAAAAUGCUAGAGCUGUACUUAUAAAACUCCAGACAACAACAUAUUCUCUUGUGUAUAGCCCUAACUAUUGUAUCAUACACGCGGAGAGACGCUAAAAAAUGCUUAGUCGGCAAGUUUCGCCCGAUCGUGUUUAAGCUCGCCCGCGUGACGUCAUUGCAUAUAAUUAUGACGCAUGUUAAUGAGUGACGUCAUUACUCCUCCUCACUCCUCCUCCUCAUUUCUCCUCACUCCUCCUCCUCACUCCUCCACCGCCACCACCACAUGCCACCACCACAUUCCACCACCAACACCACACGCCACCACCAC